This 466-nucleotide ribosomal RNA is filed under the name uncultured bacterium. RNAcentral describes it as "partial 16S ribosomal RNA". It matches the Rfam family "Bacterial small subunit ribosomal RNA", at positions 28 to 505 of the family's 1533-position model. The record is from RNAcentral.
GACGAACGCUGGCGGCGUGCUUAACACAUGCAAGUCGAACGGAAAGGCCCUGCUUUUGUGGGGUGCUCGAGUGGCGAACGGGUGAGUAACACGUGAGUAACCUGCCCUUGACUUUGGGAUAACUUCAGGAAACUGGGGCUAAUACCGGAUAGGAGCUCCUGCUGCAUGGUGGGGGUUGGAAAGUUUCGGCGGUUGGGGAUGGACUCGCGGCUUAUCAGCUUGUUGGUGGGGUAGUGGCUCACCAAGGCUUUGACGGGUAGCCGGCCUGAGAGGGUGACCGGCCACAUUGGGACUGAGAUACGGCCCAGACUCCUACGGGAGGCAGCAGUGGGGAAUAUUGCACAAUGGGCGGAAGCCUGAUGCAGCAACGCCGCGUGCGGGAUGACGGCCUUCGGGUUGUAAACCGCUUUCGCCUGUGACGAAGCGUGAGUGACGGUAAUGGGUAAAGAAGCACCGGCUAACUACG